RNAcentral lists this ribosomal RNA (526 nucleotides) under Hypocreales sp. Rco022ITS1. RNAcentral's name for it is "eukaryotic LSU rRNA". The stretch from base 146 to 299 matches the Rfam family "5.8S ribosomal RNA". The record is from RNAcentral. Lineage: Eukaryota; Fungi; Ascomycota; Sordariomycetes; Hypocreales.
AAACCCUUAUGUGAACCUACCUAUCGUUGCUUCGGCGGACUCGCCCCAGCCGGACGCGGACUGGACCAGCGGCCGCCGGGGACCAUCAAACUCUUGUAUUAUCAGCAUCUUCUGAAUACGCCGCAAGGCAAAACAAAUAAAUUAAAACUUUCAACAACGGAUCUCUUGGCUCUGGCAUCGAUGAAGAACGCAGCGAAAUGCGAUAAGUAAUGUGAAUUGCAGAAUCCAGUGAAUCAUCGAAUCUUUGAACGCACAUUGCGCCCGCCAGCAUUCUGGCGGGCAUGCCUGUUCGAGCGUCAUUUCAACCCUCGACCUCCCUUUGGGGAAGUCGGCGUUGGGGACCGGCAGCACACCGCCGGCCCUGAAAUGGAGUGGCGGCCCGUCCGCGGCGACCUCUGCGUAGUAAACCAACUCGCACCGGAACCCCGACGUGGCCACGCCGUAAAACACCCAACUUCUGAACGUUGACCUCGAAUCAGGUAGGACUACCCGCUGAACUUAAGCAUAUCAAUAAGCCGGAGGAAAA